Molecule: ribosomal RNA, 818 nt
Filed under: uncultured Cantharellales
Lineage: Eukaryota; Fungi; Basidiomycota; Agaricomycetes; Cantharellales
Description: eukaryotic LSU rRNA
Rfam family: Eukaryotic large subunit ribosomal RNA
Source: RNAcentral
UCAAUGUGUGAAUCAGGUUAGGAUUAGCUCCUUGUCUGAGUUGUGCACUAUAGACGGCGGAUCAGCGCUUGAGAGGUCGAGGUGGAUAUCCGAUGAAACUCGGUGCCAUUGAGGGUCAUAGUCCUGUACUUGCCUUGUUACCUCUUGCGCAUUUGACCGACGUUCUGCGAGUCGCGUAGUUUUGUAUUGCUGCGCUAAUUGGGAGGUAGAGCCCUUCUAAAGCUAAAUAUGAUGACGUGACCGAUAGCACACAAGUACCGCGAGGGAAAGGUGAAAAGCAACCAUGCAGAAUGGGUUGAAACAGAAGUGAAAGCGCUACUGGGAUAAGGGCUGGGAAUUGCUUGUGUCAUUUGCGCGUGCUUUAGUGCUGUGCUUGUGAACGGCAUGCUUCAGUUAGGAUGGGGAGAACAGGGCCUUGGGAAUUCGGCUAGAUCCGUCUAGUGUUGUAGCCCUGGUGCCAAUGGAGCCCCUUCUGACUUUUGAGUGUCUUGCGAUUGUCAGCCGCCCGUCUUGAAACACGGACCAAGGAGUGCACCUUGCAUGCAAGUCAAAGGGACUGUAAUCCUGGAGGCGUAGCGAAAGCGAAGGCCACGAACCCGUAAGGUGUCGGUGGCACCCGCCUUGUGUGAGGUAGAGCAUGUAGGGUGCGACCCGAAAGAUGGUGAACUAUGCCCGGGUAAGGUGAAGCCAGUGGAAACGCUGGUGGAGGCCUGUAGCGGUUCUGACGUGCAGAUCGAUCGUGUAACCUGGGUAUAGGGGCGAAAGACCUAUCGAACCGUCUAAUGGCUGGUUCCCCCCGAAGUUUCCCUCAGGAUAGC